Herpailurus yagouaroundi (jaguarundi) is the source of this 131-nucleotide long non-coding RNA. RefSeq lists it as uncharacterized. The record is from RefSeq and is a predicted model, not a curated record. The transcript is spliced from 4 exons. Lineage: Eukaryota; Metazoa; Chordata; Mammalia; Carnivora; Felidae.
GUACUUGGUGACGGCCUUGGUGCCCUCGGACACGGCGUGCUUGGCCAGCUCCCCGGGCAGCAGCAGGCGCACGGCCGUCUGGACUUCCCGGGAGGUCAGAUGGGAAGAGAGCACGACUGAACUCCAGUGCC